GAGUUUGAUCGUGGCUCAGAUUGAACGCUGGCGGCAUGCCUUACACAUGCAAGUCGAACGGCAGCAUGAUCUAGCUUGCUAGAUUGAUGGCGAGUGGCGAACGGGUGAGUAAUACGUCGGAACGUGCCCUGUAGUGGGGGAUAACUAGUCGAAAGAUUAGCUAAUACCGCAUACGACCUGAGGGUGAAAGUGGGGGACCGCAGGGCCUCAUGCUAUAGGAGCGGCCGAUGUCUGAUUAGCUAGUUGGUGGGGUAAAGGCCCACCAAGGCGACGAUCAGUAGCUGGUCUGAGAGGACGAUCAGCCACACUGGGACUGAGACACGGCCCAGACUCCUACGGGAGGCAGCAGUGGGGAUUUUGGACAAUGGGCGAAAGCCUGAUCCAGCAAUGCCGCGUGUGUG
Molecule: ribosomal RNA, 401 nt
Filed under: uncultured microorganism
Description: bacterial SSU rRNA
Rfam family: Bacterial small subunit ribosomal RNA
Source: RNAcentral